This 253-nucleotide ribosomal RNA is filed under the name uncultured bacterium. RNAcentral describes it as "partial 16S ribosomal RNA". It matches the Rfam family "Bacterial small subunit ribosomal RNA", at positions 524 to 776 of the family's 1533-position model. The record is from RNAcentral.
UACGGAGGGUGCAAGCGUUAUCCGGAUUCACUGGGCUUAAAGGGUGCGUAGGUGGCCAGGUAAGUCAGCGGUGAAAUCCCCGAGCUUAACUUGGGAACUGCCAUUGAUACUAUCUGUCUUGAAUACCUUGGAGGUGAGCGGAAUAUGUCAUGUAGCGGUGAAAUGCUUAGAUAUGACAUAGAACACCAAUUGCGAAGGCAGCUCACUACACGGUCAUUGACACUGAGGCACGAAAGCGUGGGGAUCAAACAGG